Molecule: long non-coding RNA, 292 nt
Filed under: Citrus x clementina
Lineage: Eukaryota; Viridiplantae; Streptophyta; Magnoliopsida; Sapindales; Rutaceae
Description: Citrus clementina (C. clementina) long non-coding RNA (CCLE_LNC000405)
Source: RNAcentral
GGCCGAUGAUAUCGAUGUGCAUUUGUUACUCGAGGAUACUAGGAGGUAAGUAAACUAGAUUUCCAAACGAAUCACAAUAAACAAUAUAUAUGUUUGAUAUGUUUGGAAAGCCUAUUUUUAUAUAUGUACGGAUAUUGAUAUGCUAUGCCCAUGUGUUUAUACGAUGUGUUGAUAUGAUGUGUUGUUAUGUGUGUUUAUGGACAUGGGCAUACGUAUGUGUGAAUAUUUCAUUGGCAUGAGCACGAAAAUGCAUUAUGUUUUCUGUAAAAUGAGAAAGUUGAUUUUAGCAAAC